CCGCGGGCAGGUGGCCCGGGCGCGCGCGAGCGGCCGCCGGGUGUUAUAGCCGCCGGGCCCGGAUCGUCGCCGAAUCCCGGGGCCGAGGGAGAGGACCGCCGCCGCGCCCUCCCCCGGAGGGGGCGGCCCCCGCGGGGGGCGCCGGGGGGAACCUUCCCCCUUCUGUUCGGGCCGCCUCCGUUCCCGCGGGGCGGCCCGUUCGGGGGACGGGCCCGCCGGCCCCCGGCGCCGCUGUCCGACCGGGGCGGACUGCGCUCAGUGCGCCCCGACCGCGCGGCGCCGCCGGGCCGGGCUCGGGCCACGCCAGGGCGCCCGGGGUG
RNAcentral lists this long non-coding RNA (320 nucleotides) under Gallus gallus (chicken). The record is from RNAcentral. Lineage: Eukaryota; Metazoa; Chordata; Aves; Galliformes; Phasianidae.